RNAcentral lists this transfer RNA (51 nucleotides) under Mastigeulota kiangsinensis. Its description in RNAcentral is "tRNA-Gln". Lineage: Eukaryota; Metazoa; Mollusca; Gastropoda; Stylommatophora; Camaenidae. The record is from RNAcentral.
CAUCUGGUGUUAAGCACAGAAAAAUUUGAGUUUUCAGGAGGAUUACCGAUG